RNAcentral lists this ribosomal RNA (468 nucleotides) under uncultured bacterium. Its description in RNAcentral is "partial 16S ribosomal RNA". It matches the Rfam family "Bacterial small subunit ribosomal RNA", at positions 28 to 507 of the family's 1533-position model. The record is from RNAcentral.
GACGAACGCUGGCGGCGUGCUUAACACAUGCAAGUCGAACGGAAAGGCCCUGCUUUUGUGGGGUGCUCGAGUGGCGAACGGGUGUGUAACACGUGAGUAACCUGCCCCUGACUUUGGGAUAACUUCAGGAAACUGGGGCUAAUACCGGAUAGGAGCUCCUGCUGCAUGGUGGGGGUUGGAAAGUUUCGGCGGUUGGGGAUGGACUCGCGGCUUAUCAGCUUGUUGGUGGGGUAGUGGCUUACCAAGGCUUUGACGGGUAGCCGGCCUGAGAGGGUGACCGGCCACAUUGGGACUGAGGUACGGCCCAGACUCCUACGGUAGGCAGCGGUGGGGAAUAUUGCACAAUGGGCGGAAGCCUGAUGCAGCAACGCCGCGUGCGGGAUGACGGCCUUCGGGUUGUAAACCGCUUUCGCCUGUGACGAAGCGUGAGUGACGGUACUGGGUAAAGAAGCACCGGCUAACUACGUG